GUCUGUGUAAUUCAGCGGAAGAAUGCUUGCCUACGGAGCAAGAGGUCGCAGGUUCGAUCCCUGCCACAGAUU
Molecule: transfer RNA, 72 nt
Filed under: Pseudomonadota bacterium
Lineage: Bacteria; Pseudomonadati; Pseudomonadota
Description: Proteobacteria bacterium (activated sludge metagenome) tRNA-Arg
Rfam family: tRNA
About the family: Transfer RNA (tRNA) molecules are approximately 80 nucleotides in length.
Source: RNAcentral